RNAcentral lists this ribosomal RNA (497 nucleotides) under uncultured bacterium. RNAcentral's name for it is "partial 16S ribosomal RNA". It matches the Rfam family "Bacterial small subunit ribosomal RNA", at positions 28 to 507 of the family's 1533-position model. The record is from RNAcentral.
GACGAACGCUGGCGGCGUGCCUAAUACAUGCAAGUUGAGCGCUGAAGGUUGGUACUUGUACCGACUGGAUGAGCAGCGAACGGGUGAGUAACGCGUGGGGAAUCUGCCUUUGAGCGGGGGACAACAUUUGGAAACGAAUGCUAAUACCGCAUAAAAACUUUAAACACAAGGUUUAAGGUUGAAAGAUGCAAUUGCAUCACUCAAAGAUGAUCCCGCGUUGUAUUAGCUAGUUGGUGAGGUAAAGGCUCACCAAGGCGAUGAUACAUAGCCGACCUGAGAGGGGGAUCGGCCACAUUGGGACUGAGACACGGCCCAAACUCCUACGGGAGGCAGCAGUAGGGAAUCUUCGGCAAUGGACGAAAGUCUGACCGAGCAACGCCGCGUGAGUGAAGAAGGUUUUCGGAUCGUAAAACUCUGUUGGUAGAGAAGAACGUUGGUGAGAGUGGAAAGCUCAUCAAGUGACGGUAACUACCCAGAAAGGGACGGCUAACUACGUG